UUAAAAGUAAAGUAUGAAAUCUUAGAAUUUGGACUUAGGACCUAAUUUGAUCUCACAACCUCAUUUAACUACCUUGAAAGGUGAGAAUUGUCCAAACUCUAUUCAAGCUGUAUCUGUUCUUGAUUUGACACUAAACACCACCUUUGAGGCUGCUGUCAUGGAGAAGUUUCAACUAAGAUGGGCUCUUGGUGACUGCAGUUUAGAUAGAUGGCUUUAUAGUAGAAGAUGAAGAGCAUUACAGUGUAAUUGUGUUGGUUGUUUGCCUGAUUUUUCAUUUUGCUGCUGUUGAAUAGUGAAGCUUCAAUUAGGAUCUUGUUACUGCUCUUUCUUAAAUCAGUUUACAUGUUACUGCUAUUUUAUUACUUACUUUCUUUGCUAAAUCAGGCUACUUGUUAAUGCAAUUUUGUUACGUAAAAUGUUUUGUCUCGUCUUGCAAGUGUUUCUCAUGGGAAUAAUAAUUAACUUGCUUUGCUAUAGUUUGGUGUUUAUUUUAUUCAUUUUGAUCUGUCAUGAUCAUGCUUUUGAGCCAAAUAAAUUAUUGUAUGUUUCUUUGGGAAUGUUUCUACGAUGUUUUCUAAUUUUGAUUGCUUGUGUAUCAAAACUUGUGUAUGUCCAUAUGUGCUGCUCUUUCUAAUGAUUUUCGAGGUGAUCCUCCUGGUCGUUUUCGAUUUGAAGUAGUUCGGCCAACACCGCCUUGCUGUUAUCCUUCUGAGGGAAACAUUCGUCUUAGCAUAAGUGUAUGGGACAUGGUUUAAUUUAAUAUAAGUGCUUUUGAUUUAUUUUUCGAGGUUACACAUGCACGUAACAUUCAAUUAUUAAUUCGUGCCCUCUUGUCUGCAAUAAAUAGACCAGAUAAUGUUAUUAGUUAUGUAAUCUGUACUGGAGAUGAAACAAAAUAUAUUCUUUUCAUGCAUAAUAAAUGUAAUGUGUCUACA
Molecule: non-coding RNA, 935 nt
Organism: Vigna umbellata (rice bean)
Lineage: Eukaryota; Viridiplantae; Streptophyta; Magnoliopsida; Fabales; Fabaceae
Source: RefSeq, a predicted model, not a curated record